RNAcentral lists this unclassified non-coding RNA (22 nucleotides) under Mus musculus (house mouse). RNAcentral describes it as "oocyte_clustered_small_RNA13280". Lineage: Eukaryota; Metazoa; Chordata; Mammalia; Rodentia; Muridae. The record is from RNAcentral.
UGCUGCAUUGGAGAUCACAUCC